GUAUGCAGGCGGACCUUUAAGUAGGAAGUGAAAGGGUGGAGCUCAACUCCGCCACUGCUCCCUAUACUGGGGGUCUUGAGUGCCGGAGAGGACAAGGGAACGGGUCGUGUAGCGGUGAAAUGCGUUGAGAUGACUCGGAACACCAAUGGCGAAAGCACUUGUCUGGACGGAGACUGACGCUGAGAUACGAAAGCCAAGGGAGCGAACAGGAUUAGAUACCCUGGUAGUCUUGGCCAUAAACGAUGUUCACUAGGUGUCGGGGGGACUCCUUCGGUGCCGCAGCUAACGCAUUAAGUGAACCGCCUGGGGACUACGGCCGCAAGGUUGAAACUCAAAGGAAUUGGCGGGGGCCCGCACAAGCGGUGGAGCAUGUGGCUUAAUUCGAUGCAACGCGAAGAACCUUACCAGGGCUUGACAUGGAGCUGCAAGCUCGUGAAAGCGAGUCGCUUUCGAAGGUGCUUCACAGGUGGUGCAUGGCUGUCGUCAGCUCGUGUUGUGAAAUGUUGGGUUAAGUCCCGCAACGAGCGCAACCCUCACGUUUUGUU
Molecule: ribosomal RNA, 545 nt
Filed under: uncultured bacterium
Lineage: Bacteria
Description: bacterial SSU rRNA
Rfam family: Bacterial small subunit ribosomal RNA
Source: RNAcentral